CCAAUAGCGUAUAUUAAAGUUGUUGCAGUUAAAAAGCUCGUAGUUGAAUUUCGGGAUUGACGUGAUGGUCGUGCCUUAAGGGGUAUGAACUGUUGCAGUCAAUUUCUCACCUUCUGGAGAAAUAUGAUGUCCUUAAUUGGGUGUCAUAUGGAACCAGAACUUUUACCUUGAAAAAAUUAGAGUGUUUAAAGCAAGCAUAUUGCUCGAAUACAUUAGCAUGGAAUAAUAAAAUAGGACGGCAUGGUUCUAUUUUGUUGGUUUCUAGGAUCACCGUAAUGAUUAAUAGGGAUAGUUGGGGGCAUUAGUAUUCAAUUGUCAGAGGUGAAAUUCUUGGAUUUAUUGAAGACUAACUACUGCGAAAGCAUUUGCCAAGGAUGUUUUCAUUAAUCAAGAACGAAAGUUAGGGGAUCGAAGACGAUCAGAUACCGUCGUAGUCUUAACCAUAAACUAUGCCGACUAGGAAUCAGACGAUGUUAAUUUUUUAAUGACUCGUUUGGCACCUUACG
RNAcentral lists this ribosomal RNA (506 nucleotides) under uncultured Glomeromycotina. Its description in RNAcentral is "partial small subunit ribosomal RNA". It matches the Rfam family "Eukaryotic small subunit ribosomal RNA", at positions 591 to 1092 of the family's 1831-position model. Lineage: Eukaryota; Fungi; Glomeromycota. The record is from RNAcentral.